CAGCCGCCGCGGUAAAACGUAGGGUGCAAGCGUUAAUCGGAAUUACUGGGCGUAAAGCGUGCGCAGGCGGUUAUAUAAGACAGAUGUGAAAUCCCCGGGCUCAACCUGGGAACUGCAUUUGUGAAUGUAUAGCUAGAGUACGGCAGAGGGGGAUGGAAUUCCGCGUGUAGCAGUGAAAUGCGUAGAUAUGCGGAGGAACACCGAUGGCGAAGGCAAUCCCCUGGGCCUGUACUGACGCUCAUGCACGAAAGCGUGGGGAGCAAACAGGAUUAGAUACCCGCGUAGUCCCUGUCUCUUAUAA
RNAcentral lists this ribosomal RNA (301 nucleotides) under uncultured bacterium. Its description in RNAcentral is "partial 16S ribosomal RNA". It matches the Rfam family "Bacterial small subunit ribosomal RNA", at positions 509 to 809 of the family's 1533-position model. The record is from RNAcentral.